Molecule: long non-coding RNA, 746 nt
Organism: Manis pentadactyla (Chinese pangolin)
Lineage: Eukaryota; Metazoa; Chordata; Mammalia; Pholidota; Manidae
Exons: 4
Source: RefSeq, a predicted model, not a curated record
UAAAAAGAGGUGAUAUGGGUGGGGCCCAAUCCAUUAUGACUGAUGUCUUUAUAAGAAGAGGUAAUUAGGACACAAAACAGAGGAAGACCAUAUGAAGCCUCUGAGAGAAGUGAGCUACCUACAAGCCAAUGAGAGAGACCCACAGAGAAACUCAACUGUGAUGACACCUUGAUGUUGGCCUUCUAGCCUUCAGAAUGGUGAGCAACUUCUUUAGGCCAGAAGUCCAGGCACAGCUCAACAUAGCCCUCGCCUCAGGAUUUCACCAGGCUGCAGUCAAGGUGUUGGCUGGUUGACAUUCUCAUCUGGAGGCUCACUGGGCAAGAUUCUGCUUUCAGUCUUACUCAGAGAUCAUAAUGCAUUAGUAGAAUAGUACAUAUGUAAUUUAUAAAAAUAUAUAAAUAAAUGUAACUGUUUGCUAAAUUGGAUGUGAGAUCUUCAUUUUCCCUGAGAGAUGAUUCAUAUGAUCUAAAUAUUUGGAAACUUUUCUUCUGAAUAACCUUGAGGCUACUAAAGUAUUUAACAUUACCUACAAAACUUACAUUAUGUUUCUACUGGACAGGUACCAUGGUAGACAAUGGAUACUACCAGGUUCUCUUCUCUGUCAAUUCAAAUCUCCCUAGCCUGUGUCUGAAAUUCCACUGGGUUUAGAAUAGUGAGAGGGAAGAAGGAAACCAGGGAUAAUAGAGAAGGCUUAAAGUGCUAAUGUCUGACUGAAGUAAAUGUUGUAAUGUGAAUAUUUAAGAAGA